This 502-nucleotide ribosomal RNA is filed under the name uncultured bacterium. RNAcentral's name for it is "bacterial SSU rRNA". It matches the Rfam family "Bacterial small subunit ribosomal RNA", at positions 36 to 518 of the family's 1533-position model. The record is from RNAcentral.
CUGGCGGCGUGCUUAACACAUGCAAGUCGAAGCGAAAGGGACUUCGGUCCUGAGUAAAGUGGCGCACGGGUGAGUAACGCGUAGAUAACCUGUCUUCAUGUCUGGAAUAAUACGCCGAAAGGGGUACUAAUACCGGAUAUUCUUGCUUUUCAUAAGUUAUGCAAGCAAAGGUGGCCUCUGCAUAUGCUACUGCAUGAAGAGGGGUCUGCGUACCAUUAGCUAGUAGGUGGGGUAAUGGCCUACCUAGGCGACGAUGGUUAGCGGGUCUGAGAGGAUGAUCCGCCACACUGGCACUGGAACACGGGCCAGACUCCUACGGGAGGCAGCAGUGAGGAAUAUUGCGCAAUGGGGGAAACCCUGACGCAGCGACGCCGCGUGAAGUGAGGAAGGCCUUCGGGUCGUAAAGCUCUGUCAAGAGGAAAGAAGUGUACAAUGGCUAAUACCUGUUGUAUUUGACGGUACCUCUAAAGGAAGCACCGGCUAACUCCGUGCCAGCCGCAGC